UGAGGAAUAUUGGUCAAUGGGCGGGAGCCUGAACCAGCCAAGCCGCGUGAGGGAUGAAGGCCCUAUGGGUCGUAAACCUCUUUUGUCAGGGAACAAAAGCGAGUAUGUAUACUAGUCUGAGUGUACCUGAAGAAAAAGCAUCGGCUAACUCCGUGCCAGCAGCCGCGGUAAUACGGAGGAUGCGAGCGUUAUCCGGAUUUAUUGGGUUUAAAGGGUGCGUAGGCGGCGGUGCAAGUCAGCGGUAAAAGCCCGGGGCUCAACCCCGGCGAGCCGUUGAAACUGCAGUGCUAGAGAAGGCGAGAGGUACGCGGAAUGCGCAGUGUAGCGGUGAAAUGCUUAGAUAUUGCGCAGAACUCCGAUUGCGAAGGCAGCGUACUGGCGCCUGACUGACGCUGAGGCACGAAAGCGUGGGGAUCAAAUAGGAUUAGAUACC
Molecule: ribosomal RNA, 433 nt
Filed under: uncultured bacterium
Lineage: Bacteria
Description: bacterial SSU rRNA
Rfam family: Bacterial small subunit ribosomal RNA
Source: RNAcentral